Molecule: ribosomal RNA, 469 nt
Filed under: uncultured bacterium
Lineage: Bacteria
Description: bacterial SSU rRNA
Rfam family: Bacterial small subunit ribosomal RNA
Source: RNAcentral
UUGCCAAACUCCUACGGGAGGCAGCAGUGAGGAAUAUUGGUCAAUGGGCGGAAGCCUGAACCAGCCAAGUCGCGUGAGGGAUUAAGGCCCUGCGGGUCGUAAACCUCUUUAGGCGGGGAGCAAUGCCGGGCACGCGUGUCCGGAGGGAGAGUACCCGCAGAAUAAGCAUCGGCUAACUCCGUGCCAGCAGCCGCGGUAAUACGGAGGACGCGAGCGUUAUCCGGAUUUAUUGGGUUUAAAGGGUGCGUAGGCGGAUUUUUAAGUCAGCGGUAAAAUGUCCGGGCUCAACCCGGGCCGGCCGUUGAAACUGGGGAUCUUGAGUGGGCGAGAAGUAUGCGGAAUGCGUGGUGUAGCGGUGAAAUGCAUAGAUAUCACGCAGAACUCCGAUUGCGAAGGCAGCAUACCGGCGCCCGACUGACGCUGAGGCACGAAAGCGUGGGGAUCGAACAGGAUUAGAUACCCGCGUAUC